Seriola aureovittata is the source of this 1346-nucleotide long non-coding RNA. RefSeq lists it as uncharacterized. Lineage: Eukaryota; Metazoa; Chordata; Actinopteri; Carangiformes; Carangidae. The transcript is spliced from 3 exons. The record is from RefSeq and is a predicted model, not a curated record.
GCAUGUACCUGUUCAUGCACAAAGACGAACAGAGAUCCAUGUAGCUGUUCAUGCACAUGUAAAGACAAAUGCAAAACAUUUGGAUGGACUUUAGGUCUACAUGUUGUAAAAGCAGCUUUGGUAGGUGUGCUCUGGGUUGCAGCAGUGUUAAUCGAUGGAGACUGGUAUGUUUGCUGUAAGAAUGACCACUCUAAACAACAGUCACAGUUAGCAUGCAAAGACAAGAGUAACAUAACAGUUGAGGAACAAGCAAUCAUCGCUGACUUGAAAAACCUCUCACUGGGGUAUGGGAUGCUUGCAGUCUUUCUGAUCACUGGCACUGCCACCUUUGUGUUGUCAAUAGCAUGGACAUGCCACUGCCAGCAUUCAUCUACAAAUAAUGACUGUGCAAGUUUUUGCAAUUGUGCAGAAUGUUGCACAAAACAAGGUUUAUUUGACGAGCUCAUUUUGGAAGCAGAGGAAAACAUAGUCACAAAUGUGCUGAGAGAAAAAGCAGAAGAGAUGGUGACUACAAAGCUCCAAGACUAUGUGAGACAAAGGCAGUGGGAAAAGUGUUUUGAUAUUGCUGACGAGCUGAUCAAAGACAUUAACGAAGUUACACAGGAGGACAUUCUUGCAGUUCCUGAGGCAGCAGCACCAGAGAAUGUUGCAGAUUCACAGGUUCAUCCUGGAACAACAGAUGACCUAAGAGAGAGAGGAGACGCAACAUAGAGGUCUGUUAAAAAAGGACAACAGUGAAACCAAGAAGAAAGUGAUUGACAAUAUGAGUAUUACAUUUUGAUUUAUCACCACCUUCAUCAGUCAACAGUGUUUCACCAAAAAAUAAAAUGAGCUUUAAUCUGUGAUUGUAGGGUGUAACGUCAGAAGAGCAGGCAUUAAGAUUAAGAGUCACAUUAUCUUACUGUUUGCAAACUUUUAAGUUUUCUCUUCUACUCAUUGAAUCAUCUUCUUGUUUUACCGCCCUGCCUUUAUGUCUUGUUGCUGAAUAAAUAAACUUAAUGGAAGUUGACCUCACUCUGUGCUUCAUCACACAUUUUGUUCCUGCGAUUGGUUGUAGGUGUAUCCAAAUGUGUCCAGAAUCAUUUUGGUCUGUAACCACUGAGUGUUUCCAGACUGUCUGGUGAUGUCAGGCAAGGGGUGUGGCUCUAAAUACUACUAUACCCACGAGCCUUGGCCAAUUUUGCUAUUGAGAAAAAAACAGUCAGAGUUGUGGUGAAUUCGAAAUGCUAUGUUGCCAUGGUUAAUGCAUUAUUAUAAAAUUCAUUUGGAAUUCAAUGAUCGAAAAAGAGGCAGUUUGUGUUUUCAGCUUUGUCUGCAGUGUAAUCUUUAGCUUCAGCUAACCAUUC